CCUACGGGAGGCAGCAGUGGGGAAUCUUGCGCAAUGGGCGAAAGCCUGACGCAGCCAUGCCGCGUGAAUGAUGAUGGUCUUAGGAUUGUAAAAUUCUUUCACCGGGGACGAUAAUGACGGUACCCGGAGAAGAAGCCCCGGCUAACUUCGUGCCAGCAGCCGCGGUAAUACGAAGGGGGCUAGCGUUGCUCGGAAUUACUGGGCGUAAAGGGAGCGUAGGCGGAUAGUUUAGUCAGAGGUGAAAGCCCAGGGCUCAACCUUGGAAUUGCCUUUGAUACUGGCUAUCUUGAGUAUGGGAGAGGUUAGCGGAACUCCGAGUGUAGAGGUGAAAUUCGUAGAUAUUCGGAAGAACACCAGUGGCGAAGGCGGCUAACUGGCCCAUUACUGACGCUGAGGCUCGAAAGCGUGGGGAGCAAACAGGAUUAGAUACCCUGGUAGUCCACGCCGUAAACGAUGAGUGCUAGUUGUCGGCAUGCAUGCAUGUCGGUGACGCAGCUAACGCAUUAAGCACUCCGCCUGGGGAGUACGGUCGCAAGAUUAAAACUCAAAGGAAUUGACGG
RNAcentral lists this ribosomal RNA (560 nucleotides) under uncultured bacterium. Its description in RNAcentral is "bacterial SSU rRNA". It matches the Rfam family "Bacterial small subunit ribosomal RNA", at positions 338 to 916 of the family's 1533-position model. The record is from RNAcentral.